GUCCGCAACGAGCGCAACCCUUGCCUUUAGUUGCCAACAGGUAAAGCUGGGAACUCUAGAGGGACUGCCCGGGUAACCGGGAGGAAGGCGGGGACGACGUCAAGUCCUCAUGGCCCUUAUGUCCAGGGCUACACACGUGCUACAAUGGGCGGUACAAAGCGACGCGAAGCCGCGAGGUGAAGCCAAUCGCUUAAAGCCGUUCUCAGUUCGGAUCGCAGUCUGCAACUCGACUGCGUGAAGUUGGAAUCGCUAGUAAUCGGAGAUCAGCACGCUUCGGUGAAUACGUUCCCGGGCCUUGUACACACCGCCCGUCACAUCAC
This 320-nucleotide ribosomal RNA is filed under the name uncultured delta proteobacterium B2M6. RNAcentral describes it as "bacterial SSU rRNA". It matches the Rfam family "Bacterial small subunit ribosomal RNA", at positions 1085 to 1405 of the family's 1533-position model. The record is from RNAcentral. Lineage: Bacteria; Deltaproteobacteria.